Molecule: ribosomal RNA, 155 nt
Filed under: uncultured Sebacina
Lineage: Eukaryota; Fungi; Basidiomycota; Agaricomycetes; Sebacinales; Sebacinaceae
Description: 5.8S ribosomal RNA
Rfam family: 5.8S ribosomal RNA
About the family: 5.8S ribosomal RNA (5.8S rRNA) is a component of the large subunit of the eukaryotic ribosome.
Source: RNAcentral
AACUUUCAACAACGGAUCUCUUGGCUCUCGCAUCGAUGAAGAACGCAGCGAAAUGCGAUAAGUAAUGUGAAUUGCAGAAUUCAGUGAAUCAUCGAAUCUUUGAACGCACCUUGCACCCUUUGGUAUCCCCAAAGGGUAUGCUCGUUUGAGUGUCA